This 1506-nucleotide long non-coding RNA is filed under the name Hordeum vulgare. RNAcentral's name for it is "long non-coding RNA (HVUL_LNC008286)". Lineage: Eukaryota; Viridiplantae; Streptophyta; Magnoliopsida; Poales; Poaceae. The record is from RNAcentral.
UUUACGUAUGAGAUAAGAUUAAAAUUUCAGAAACGUAAAAUUACGGUGUAUUGAUGUAAAAAUAGAGGGGGGUGAAGAAUAACUAUUCCUCACCCAGGGUGACGAAUAACUAUUCCUCACCCAGGGUGACGAAUAGCGCGUAUUUUUCAGUGUCCGAAGAGGCGUCCACCUGCAUCAGGUAGCAUUGUGCUAGCUCCAAGACAUGUUUACAACUUUUGCAUAAGCUCUGAGAUGAAAAACAGAAAUCAAUUUCAAAACUCCCUCAAGUACAAGUUCCUCCUAGAAUUAAACAACUUGCGUACCCUAGUUGUACGAUGGCUUAUUUGCGGGUGAUAUAACUUGAUUUACCGGAGACGCCCUUAGAACAAGUAUAACGGCAACCCCAUAGUCCGUUUAAUUGGGGAUGAGAACUUAUCGCUCUUGGGUGCCAUACAUGCAUCCCUAUAUGAAUAUAGCAUUUACAAAAUAUCAAGAUUUUUUUUGAAAAAAAUCAUGAAUUUUGGUAUAUGAAACUUGAACCCAUUGUACACACGUGUUUAUCUUUGUAGGGAUUGGAUGCCUGUAGUAAUCUCAUUGAAAAAGUGGGAAAAAAACUAUGUAUAGAAAAAACUAUUUGGAUGGAUCAUAUGUGAGGCUGUAUUUCCUUGGUCACGGAUACCAUGGGCACCCAUUCCCAGGAAACUGAACACAUGUGUACAAUUGACACCCAGAUUUCAUAUUCCAAAAUUUUUUUUUAUUUUUUGACAUGUCUUGGUAUUUUCUUUAACGCUAGAUUCAUACAGGAGUGUAUGGCACCUGGGAACUCCAAUGCAUUUCCUGUUUAAGUGGUGUUUGUCUAUGUAUUAAUAUAGACAUAAAACAAAUAAAAGUGUGGACUCUCAUGUAAAGGCAUAGCUCUACACAUGAUACUACUAGAAAAAGAAACUUUAUAGUUUUUUGAGGUGUAAUGCAACGAUCUAUUCAUCAAUAAUCACAGUUUGUGAGAUCACAGUUCAUUGACAACAUGUUUCCCAUCUGACAGCAGCGAGCUAUACUGUUUGUCAUCCUCGCACAGACAAGGCAAAAUGUCUUAGCAAACCCACUAGUCCAUUCCAACCAAGCCUCGUGUGGCGAACUAGCUGGUCUGGCCCGACGGUCAGGAUAAUGCUAACUCGUAUGGCGAACUAGCUGGCCUGGCUCGAUGGUCAGGAUAAUGCUAACUCGGAGGCAACCAAAGCAUGCCGGUGACAAAGUUAAUGUUCAGUACAGGGGCGCAGGUGCAUGGAAGACCGUUCCAAAGCAUCCAAACAAUCACGCCCUCCACCGCACCUCGGCCUCAUCAUGGCAUUGGGUACCAAACCCGAUCAGUAAAAACCUCAUUAGGAUAAGGAUAUGGGAAAUAAAAAUACCCAUGGGUUUCAACAUAGGUAAAGAUUAUAUUCAAUGGGUAAGGCGGGUAUGGAUAUGGGAUGGCAAUAUCCAUACCACGAACUCACAAACUUGUAUAAUAUAAAACACGCUAUCAAG